UACCUUUGUGGGUUUAUAAAAAAAUAAAAUCUGUUAUUUUUUCAUGUGGCCAAGAGAUGGCAGUAAGUGCUGAACAGUAUGCUUUAUCUUUUGAGAUACUUCACACCAUCAGAACAAAAGACUAUCCUUUGAAAUGCAAGUAUUUGCUUUGAAUAUUGACAUCAACAAAAAAAAGAAGUGGUUUCAGCUUGCAUCAGUAGUAUCAUCCACGCCUAGAGAAAUGAAAGACUGAUCAAUUUUGUUUGUUUUCAGAGACUGUCAUCAUAAAACGUUUUCAGGAUUGAUUGAUAAAUAGUGUCGAGAUUGCCAACAGAACUCAUAAUGAUGCAAGCUCACAGAAUUUACCAACUGGAGGAAACGCCAUUUACUCUAAAUACAAGCAAUACAGAAAACCAACCUAAUCCAGAAAAACAAAUGUUGCCUUUAGCAAAAAAGCCUUUACAACUUUCUCUGUCUAUUCUGAGAGGCUUCAGUCCAAUGACAUCAAAGGCAGGAUUAUGUAAGAAGAUAAAAACUUGAUUAAUGUCCAUGUUUGAAGUCAUGAAAGUCCUCCCCUCUCCAAGCCCUCCUUGAAGCACAAAAAGCCAAGGUCCAGGUGCAGGAGCAAUGCUACAGAAAGGCCAUGAGAUAUCACAAGGAAGAAGGAAGAUCUUUCUGGUGGCGGAGAGUGCUAAAAUGCUGGAAAUGCAC
Molecule: long non-coding RNA, 690 nt
Organism: Eublepharis macularius
Lineage: Eukaryota; Metazoa; Chordata; Lepidosauria; Squamata; Eublepharidae
Exons: 3
Source: RefSeq, a predicted model, not a curated record